RNAcentral lists this ribosomal RNA (1620 nucleotides) under Escherichia coli. RNAcentral's name for it is "partial 23S ribosomal RNA". It matches the Rfam family "Bacterial large subunit ribosomal RNA", at positions 612 to 2215 of the family's 2925-position model. The record is from RNAcentral. Lineage: Bacteria; Pseudomonadati; Pseudomonadota; Gammaproteobacteria; Enterobacterales; Enterobacteriaceae.
AUAAUGGGUCAGCGACUUAUAUUCUGUAGCAAGGUUAACCGAAUAGGGGAGCCGAAGGGAAACCGAGUCUUAACUGGGCGUUAAGUUGCAGGGUAUAGACCCGAAACCCGGUGAUCUAGCCAUGGGCAGGUUGAAGGUUGGGUAACACUAACUGGAGGACCGAACCGACUAAUGUUGAAAAAUUAGCGGAUGACUUGUGGCUGGGGGUGAAAGGCCAAUCAAACCGGGAGAUAGCUGGUUCUCCCCGAAAGCUAUUUAGGUAGCGCCUCGUGAAUUCAUCUCCGGGGGUAGAGCACUGUUUCGGCAAGGGGGUCAUCCCGACUUACCAACCCGAUGCAAACUGCGAAUACCGGAGAAUGUUAUCACGGGAGACACACGGCGGGUGCUAACGUCCGUCGUGAAGAGGGAAACAACCCAGACCGCCAGCUAAGGUCCCAAAGUCAUGGUUAAGUGGGAAACGAUGUGGGAAGGCCCAGACAGCCAGGAUGUUGGCUUAGAAGCAGCCAUCAUUUAAAGAAAGCGUAAUAGCUCACUGGUCGAGUCGGCCUGCGCGGAAGAUGUAACGGGGCUAAACCAUGCACCGAAGCUGCGGCAGCGACGCUGAUGCGUUGUUGGGUAGGGGAGCGUUCUGUAAGCCUGUGAAGGUGUGCUGUGAGGCAUGCUGGAGGUAUCAGAAGUGCGAAUGCUGACAUAAGUAACGAUAAAGCGGGUGAAAAGCCCGCUCGCCGGAAGACCAAGGGUUCCUGUCCAACGUUAAUCGGGGCAGGGUGAGUCGACCCCUAAGGCGAGGCCGAAAGGCGUAGUCGAUGGGAAACAGGUUAAUAUUCCUGUACUUGGUGUUACUGCGAAGGGGGGACGGAGAAGGCUAUGUUGGCCGGGCGACGGUUGUCCCGGUUUAAGCGUGUAGGCUGGUUUUCCAGGCAAAUCCGGAAAAUCAAGGCUGAGGCGUGAUGACGAGGCACUACGGUGCUGAAGCAACAAAUGCCCUGCUUCCAGGAAAAGCCUCUAAGCAUCAGGUAACAUCAAAUCGUACCCCAAACCGACACAGGUGGUCAGGUAGAGAAUACCAAGGCGCUUGAGAGAACUCGGGUGAAGGAACUAGGCAAAAUGGUGCCGUAACUUCGGGAGAAGGCACGCUGAUAUGUAGGUGAAGUCCCUCGCGGAUGGAGCUGAAAUCAGUCGAAGAUACCAGCUGGCUGCAACUGUUUAUUAAAAACACAGCACUGUGCAAACACGAAAGUGGACGUAUACGGUGUGACGCCUGCCCGGUGCCGGAAGGUUAAUUGAUGGGGUUAGCCGCAAGGCGAAGCUCUUGAUCGAAGCCCCGGUAAACGGCGGCCGUAACUAUAACGGUCCUAAGGUAGCGAAAUUCCUUGUCGGGUAAGUUCCGACCUGCACGAAUGGCGUAAUGAUGGCCAGGCUGUCUCCACCCGAGACUCAGUGAAAUUGAACUCGCUGUGAAGAUGCAGUGUACCCGCGGCAAGACGGAAAGACCCCGUGAACCUUUACUAUAGCUUGACACUGAACAUUGAGCCUUGAUGUGUAGGAUAGGUGGGAGGCUUUGAAGUGUGGACGCCAGUCUGCAUGGAGCCGACCUUGAAAUACCACCCUUUAAUGUUU